GCUUUCUUUACCACUCCGCGCGCUUCACUCUUCUCUCUGCUCCACCAGGGCAUCAACCCGGGUUUCGCCGCCUCCCGUUUGGCCGCUGGUUGCCGGACUUCCCUCCGCAUCCUUCUGCCAUCGGGAAUCUCUCUCCGUCCCAGCUUGGCCUUUAUCUCUCUUCUCCAUCUCUGACUCUCUCACUGUUGUUGCAGUGAUCUAAUGGCUGCACUUGGAGAGACUGCUGCUACUGAAUUCCUGCGGCAGCACGGUUUCUUGAUUUAUGGGGGAUCAAGGAGGCCUAAUCUUCUUCUGCGUACAAAUUCUUGUCCAAGGAGGUGUCGUGUGAUUCACGGCAGCUUUGGCCACAAAAGUCAUCCUGUGUUAAAUAUUAGAAGAAGUAUAACAUCAAGUUCCCCAUUCUUGUUGAAACCGAAAGCAGUGGUUUCUAGAGGCUUGCAGAGUCAAGUGGCCGAAGAGUCUGAUGCAUUGGAACAGUCCCCUGAGAUCAUACACUUCUACCGUCACCCCCUGAUUCAAGACAGUGCUGCUGCAGAGCUCCUCAGGAAGGUCCAGGCAAAGAUUUCUGGUCAGAUCGUUGAUUUAAGGACCGAGCAGUGCUUCAACAUUGGAUUGAGUGGUGUCUUAUCAGGUGACAAGCUCACAAUACUUAAGUGGCUUCUGCAGGAGACCUAUGAACCUGAGAAUUUAAAGACAGAGAGCUUUCUGGAGGAGGAGGUCUGCAAAGGUGAAGUUGCUGUUUUAGUUGAGGUUGGUCCCCGCAUGUCCUUUACUACAGCAUGGUCAGCAAAUGCUGUAUCAAUUUGCCAAGCUUGCUCCUUGACAGAAGUAACACGCAUGGAGAGGUCAAGAAGAUAUCUUCUGUAUCUCAAGGCUGGCAGCAGCCCAUUAGAUGAGAGCCAAAUUAAUGAUUUUGCAGCUAUGGUUCAGGAUAGAAUGACAGAGUGUGUUUAUCCCCAGAAGCUCACAUCUUUUCGGACUAAUGCAGUUCCAGAGGCUAUUAGUGUGGUUCCUGUCAUUGAGAAGGGAAGAGAGGCAUUGGAAGAAAUAAAUUUGAAAAUGGGUCUUGCAUUUGAUGAACAGGAUCUUCAGUAUUACACCAGACUUUUUAGGGAUGAUUUUAAACGCAACCCGACAAAUGUUGAACUCUUUGACAUUGCACAGUCCAAUAGUGAACAUAGCAGGCACUGGUUUUUCAAUGGGAAACUUGUUAUAGAUGGCAAACCGAUGAACAGGACAUUGAUGCAGAUUGUGAAAAGCACUUUGAAGGCAAAUCCCAACAAUUCUGUCAUUGGCUUCAAGGACAACUCAAGUGCAAUCAAGGGAUUCCCAGUAAAUCAGUUGCGGCCAUUAGCACCUGGCUCGACAUCUCCAUUGUCCUUGUUAAUGCGUGAGCUUGAUAUCUUGUUCACAGCAGAGACGCAUAAUUUCCCUUGUGCUGUGGCUCCUUAUCCUGGGGCGGAGACAGGUGCUGGAGGUCGCAUCAGGGACACACAUGCAACUGGAAGGGGUUCCUUUGUUGUAGCUUCUACAGCUGGGUACUGUGUUGGUAACCUUCACAUGGAAGGCUCAUAUGCUCCCUGGGAAGAUCCAACUUUCUCAUAUCCAUCAAACUUAGCUCCUCCUCUACAGAUAUUAAUAGAUGCAAGUGAUGGUGCAUCUGACUAUGGGAACAAGUUUGGAGAGCCUUUGAUUCAGGGCUUCACGAGGACUUUUGGAAUGAGGCUCCCAAAUGGAGAGCGGCGUGAAUGGCUGAAGCCAAUUAUGUUUAGUGGAGGGAUUGGACAGAUUGAUCAUGCUCACAUAUCAAAACGAGAGCCAGAAGUUGGGAUGCUAGUUGUGAAGAUUGGAGGUCCAGCAUACCGGAUUGGUAUGGGAGGUGGUGCAGCUUCAAGCAUGGUCAGUGGGCAGAAUGAUGCAGAACUAGAUUUCAAUGCCGUACAACGAGGAGAUGCUGAGAUGGCACAGAAGCUGUAUCGUGUGAUCCGAUCUUGCACUGAAAUGGGGGAAAACAACCCUAUCAUCAGUAUUCAUGAUCAGGGAGCUGGGGGAAAUUGUAAUGUUGUGAAGGAAAUAAUUGAUCCUCAAGGAGCUGAAAUUGAUAUUCGAUCUAUCGUAGUAGGUGAUCAGACCAUGUCAGUUUUAGAGAUAUGGGGUGCUGAGUACCAGGAACAGGAUGCAUUGUUAGUGAAACCUGAAAAACGAAGCUUACUAGAAUCCAUCUGUGAAAGGGAAAGAGUGUCUAUGGCAGUCAUUGGUACCAUCAGUGGCAGUGGCCGUAUUGUUUUAAUUGACAGCUCAGCUAUCGAGCAUUGUCAGUCAAAUGGACUCCCUCUCCCCCCUCCUGUAGAGGAUCUUGAGCUUGAAAAAGUACUUGGAGACAUGCCUCAGAAGUGCUUUGAAUUCAAGCGGAUGCCUUUGGUGCAAGAGCCACUUGAUAUUGCCCUUGGCACCCCAUUAAUGGAGACUUUAAAGAGAGUCUUGGCACUUCCUUCAGUUUGCUCCAAACGCUUCUUAACAACAAAAGUUGACAGGUGUGUAACGGGUCUUGUGGCACAGCAGCAAACAGUGGGGCCUCUCCAACUUCCACUUUCUGAUGUUUCUGUUAUUGCACAGACAUACACAGACUUGACUGGUGGUGCUUGUGCCAUUGGGGAGCAGCCAAUAAAGGGUUUGCUGAACCCCAAAUCUAUGGCAAGGUUGGCUGUUGGGGAGGCCUUGACCAAUCUAGUCUGGGCCAAAGUUACAUCUCUCAGUGAUGUCAAAGCUAGUGGUAACUGGAUGUAUGCUGCAAAGCUUGAUGGGGAAGGAGCAGCAAUGUAUGAUGCUGCAGUUGCACUCUCUGAGUCUAUGAUUGAAUUGGGUAUAGCAAUAGAUGGGGGAAAGGACAGUCUUUCUAUGGCAGCUCAUGUGGGUGGUGAGGUUGUCAAGGCUCCUGGAAGUUUGGUUAUCAGUGCCUAUGUUACCUGUCCUGAUAUAACAUUGACAGUGACUCCAGAUUUGAAGCUUGAAAAUUUUGGUGUUCUGAUGCACAUUGAUCUAGCUAAAGGGAAGCGUCGUUUAGGUGGAUCUUCUCUUGCCCAGGCUUUUGACCAAAUUGGUGAUGAGUGCCCUGACCUUGAUGAUGUACGUUACCUGAAGAAGGUUUUUGAGACUAUUCAGGAGCUUCUUAGUGAAAGAUUAAUAUCUGCUGGUCAUGACAUCAGUGAUGGCGGGCUUAUAGUUUGUGUUCUUGAAAUGGCUUUUGCUGGAAAUUGUGGUGUGCAGUUGAACUUGAAUUCCCAGGGUAAUAAUAUUCUCCAGAUACUCUUUGCAGAAGAGCUUGGUCUUAUUAUCGAGGUUAGCUCGCAGAACAGUGAUACAGUCAGGCAAAAGCUUGAAGCAGCAGGCAUUUCUGGUGAGGUUAUUGGUAAAGUUACUGCAUCACCAGUGAUUGAGUUGUCUGUUGAUGGAAUACUUCAGCUGAAGGAGGACACAUCUUACCUUAGGGACUUAUGGGAGGAGACUAGCUUUCAGCUCGAGGGGUUCCAAAGGUUGGCUUCCUGUGUGAGACUUGAGAAAGAAGGCUUAAAAAGCAGACAAGCACCUUCAUGGACACUGUCUUUUUCUCCCAAGUUCACAGAUGAGAAGGUAAUGGCUGUAACUUUAAAGCCCAAGGUAGCUAUCAUUCGUGAGGAAGGGAGUAACGGGGAUAGGGAAAUGUCGGCAGCAUUCUAUGCUGCAGGAUUUGAACCCUGGGACAUUACAAUGUCUGACCUUCUGAGAGGGAAAAUCUCUUUAAAUGAGUUUCGUGGGAUCGCAUUUGUUGGUGGUUUCAGUUAUGCUGAUGUUCUCGAUUCUGCAAAAGGAUGGUCAGCAUCCAUAAGGUUCAACCAGCCUCUUCUACGGCAAUUUCAAGAGUUCUACAAUCAGCCAGACACAUUCAGCCUUGGAGUAUGUAAUGGAUGUCAGCUCAUGGCUCUCCUUGGAUGGGUACCUGGGGCUGAUAUUGGGGGUUCCCUUGGUGUGGGGGGAGAUGUGUCACAACCAAGGUUUAUCCAUAAUGAAUCUGGUCGUUUUGAGUGUCGCUUUACAAGUGUCAGAAUUGGGGACUCUCCAGCCAUCAUGUUCAAAGGAAUGGAGGGCACUACAUUGGGUGUUUGGGCAGCUCAUGGUGAGGGGAGAGCAUAUUUCCCUGAUAAUGGCGUCCUAGAAUGUGUUCUUAAGUCUAAUCUAGCUCCUCUACGGUAUUGCAAUGAUGCUGGCAGCAUAACAGAGGUCUAUCCUUUCAAUCCAAAUGGUUCGCCUCUGGGAGUUGCAGCUCUUUGUUCUCCUGAUGGGAGGCACCUUGCUAUGAUGCCACAUCCAGAGCGUUGCUUCAUGAUAUGGCAGUUCCCGUGGUAUCCAAAGGAAUGGGAAGUUGACAAGAAAGGCCCAAGUCCAUGGUUAAGGAUGUUUCAGAAUGCUCGUGAAUGGUGCUCCUAAAUAGAUCUUUAUCUGGUGACAUUGAUGUCACUGAAUUUUUGUUUGAGUUAUUGAGAAAACUGCUUAAGCCUAAAGGGAACUGAUCUCAUACAUGGAAAUAAGGCCUAGGGCCCAAGAGUGUUGGCAUCUUCGGUUAAAUUCAAGUUUUUACUCUUCUUGCUGUUAGUUUCACUUCCAGUACUCGAGAAAGUGUGAGUUCACAGGAGAUGUAUGCCAAGCAUGCAACAGGAGCUUUAUAGCCACACAUUUUGGAUUUGUGAUUGUGAAACUCCUUAUUGAUCCAUAUAGAAAAAGACAAAGUUGGCAGGGUUUCUUUUUUCACAUUUAUUUGUUUCUGUUCUGUUUUCAUUCUGGGAAGAAACCUAGGGGUUUCAGUAAACAUUAUGAGCUUAGAAAUACAAUAAUAGACAUAUGAUCACAGAAAGAGUUGCUGUUUUUCACCAUCUAUCUUUUAAAAAGCAAUUUUUAGAACAUUAGCAAACAGUUUGAUUGAUU
Molecule: non-coding RNA, 4959 nt
Organism: Elaeis guineensis (African oil palm)
Lineage: Eukaryota; Viridiplantae; Streptophyta; Magnoliopsida; Arecales; Arecaceae
Source: RefSeq, a predicted model, not a curated record